This is a long non-coding RNA of Catharus ustulatus (Swainson's thrush), 1875 nucleotides long. RefSeq lists it as uncharacterized. The transcript has 2 exons. The record is from RefSeq and is a predicted model, not a curated record. NCBI's taxonomy places the organism in Eukaryota, Metazoa, Chordata, Aves, Passeriformes, Turdidae.
UUUCUGUGCACCCCAAGAUCUCUCUGAAUCCUCCCAGGGUUCUUUUUUCUGAGCUCUCAGUGCAUCCCCCCAGGAGGUUUCUGUGCACCCCAAGGUCCUGGUGCAUCCUCCUGGGAAGGUUCUGUACACCCCAAGGUCCUGGUGCAUCCUCCUGGGAAGGUUCUGUGCACCCCAAGGUCCUGGUGCAUCCCCCCAGGGGGUUCCUGUGCACCCCAAGGUCUUGGCCCAACCCCGGGGACGUUUCUGUGCCCCCCAAGACCUCGGUGCCCCCCCGGGUGGUUUCUGUGCCCCCCACCCCUGGGAGCUUUGCCGGGUGCCCCUCCCGUGACUGUUCACUUUAUUUAUGGUGUGACAUAUGUAAUAUUGUCUAUUUUUCUUACGUUUCCUGAGAAGAGGUAAUAUAUAAGAGUAUUGCAGCUGCCCCUGCUCGCCCGGGUGUCCGGCCUGUCCCUGCCCUCCCGCCUGUCCCCUCCUGUCCCCUCCUGUCCCCGCCUGUCCCCGCCUGUCCCCGCUCCUGCCGGGGCUCUGCCUCUCUACCUCCACCUCGCCGGGAAACCGCGGGCGAGAGCAUUUCCACAGGGACUGCUCUCCUUUCCACUCCACUCCCUGCUGGUUUGCUUUUUUGGAAUUAUUAUGAUUUUCUUCCCUUUUUUUUUUUUUAAUUUUUUUUUUCUUUUUUUUUGAUAAAAAUAAAACUACCCUACAGAACCUUGCAUUGAAACCAAAAGCCGAGGGAGGGGAGGGAGGGGACGGCGGUGACGGCCGGCGCAGCCUCACGGGUGGCCGAACCAGAACGACAGCUUUAAAUGUGAGAAUUCCCAAAAAAAAAUGUGUGCUGCGGGGAGGACGGAGCGGCCGCGGGGCUGCAGUGAUGCUGUGCUGUGGGGGCUUCCUCCGGAAUGGUGUUUUUGGGGUGUGGGGGGACCAAGGGGCGCGUGCCACGUGCUGUGCCCCUUUGGUGGCUUUGUGGCACCUCGGAGGUGGCGGUGGAUGAGCUGGCACAGCGCACGGGGUGCUCACAGCUCCCGGGUCCCUGCUCCCAUCACGGCUGGGGCAGGGGAUGGCGUUGGGGACACGGGGACAGCGGUGCCCGUGGGGAGGCAGAGCCCGGGGUCCCGGGUGUGGCUGUGUCACCGGGCUGAGGAGGUGGCAGCGGGGUCGUGGCUCUCUGGUGCCAGCCGCGGCACCGGUGUCCCCUCUGCAGCCCCUUCCUCACGUUCCCAGCCCAAAAUCCCAGCUGAAACCAAAGCGCCGCGUCCCGGCGGGGCUGGAUGGGGUCCCAAACCUGCCUGGCUCCUGCUCCAUCCCUGCCAGAGCCCCCCGAGCUCCCCCUGCAGCCUCCCCUCCUCCUCCUCCUCCUCCGGGGGCUGCUGGGGCCCCCCCUUCUCCUCGGGGUGCCUCUCUGCACCCCAGUGUGUCCGAGGCUGGGGACAAGAUGCCACUGUGUCCCCAAGUGCCAGGCACUGUGAUGGGGUGACCCCCUGGGGGCUCCUCCGAUGUCACCGAGCGCCACGGCCCCGGGAGGGGGAGGUCGUGCCAGUGUCCCCCCUCCCUCCCGGGGAUCGCUUCCCCCAUUCCUCGCGGGGCUGAGCCCUGCUCCUGCUGCCCUGCCAGCCCUGGGGUGGGGACACUGGGACACGGGGGGCCCUGAGGGGCUGGAAACCAGAGCCCCCCGCCGGGGCCAGGCGUGGGGCGUGGGGCCAGCCCAGAGAGAUGACGUGGUAGGACUUUCCUUCGGCAUGCUGUCCCCCCUUGCUGUUCCCCGCUUUCUCUAAGUGUACUGUAUGUUUGACCUGUGAAAGAUGUAAACUUUAUGAUUCAGGUUAUGUCUGUUCUUAACUCUGUAUCUGUGUAAUAAAGACAAUUUAAUAUCAA